This 1425-nucleotide long non-coding RNA is filed under the name Anser brachyrhynchus (Pink-footed goose). Its description in RNAcentral is "lncRNA (ENSABRG00000008192.1)". Lineage: Eukaryota; Metazoa; Chordata; Aves; Anseriformes; Anatidae. The record is from RNAcentral.
AUCUCUUCUGGGGUUUGUCUCAGUUCCCUUUGGUGGGAACCCUGACUUUGGAUUUGCCAAAAAUUCACCCUCUGAAGAUGUUGCAGCUACAAGACUUUGGUGCAGUGGGAUGGUGUGUACAUUUUGAAGCCUCUCUAGAGAGUGGUCUGUGUAAGUGCCAUGAUACAGGUUUCUGAAGGGCAGACACUAGCCUGGUUUUGGCUGAGAUAGUUUUCUUUGUAGAGGAUGGAAUGAUGCUGUGUUUUGGAUUUAGGAGAAAAAUAAUGUUGAUAAUGCAUAGAUGUCAUUGCAGAGAAGUGCUUACGUGCAAGCAAGGAGUUUUCUGCUUCUUGUGCUGGCCUGCCAGCAAGGAGGCUGGGGGUACACCAGGAGCUGGGGGGGACACAGCCAGGACAGCUGGCCAGAGGGAUAGCCCAUACCCUUUGGUGUUGUGUUGAACUAAAAAACUAGGGGGUGUUGGCCGGAGAGGCAGCUGCUGCUCAGGGGUGGGCUGGGUAUUGGUUGGCUGGUUGUGAGCAACUGUGUUGUGCAUCACUUGUUCUGUGUAUUCUUCUAUCAUUAUUAUUAUUUUUCCUUCCUUUUCUGUCCUAUCUCAAACUAUGAGUUUUACUUUUUCCCAAAUCCUCUCUCCCAUUCCCUCUGGGGGGGAAGUGAGCAAACGGCUGUGUGGUGCUGAGCUGCCUGCUGGGCUGAGCCCCAACACAGUGCUAGAUAAUAGUGUGAAGCCUGAGUGCCACAGAAGAGGUGCAUGAGAACAAGGCUUUCAAUUUCCACUGCAUGGCCAUGGAUAAAGACUCAAGUGCACAAACAGGAAGCACCCUUGAUCUCUGCAAGUAAGCAUGGAAAGGAAGAAACAGGCCUGGAGGAGAAGCAAGCUUAACAGAAGUACCUUUUUGUAAUGACAGUCACAGUGGUACAAUUCAGUUGUGUGUGUGCUCUCUUACGGAUAUGUAAUUAGAGACUGGAAAAAGUGGAGCAGUUUUGAGCUGAUGGAUGGGAGUCCUCCUAGGCUUGAAUCCUUUCACCCCAGAGAUCAGUCUUUCUGCCUUUACUGAGAGACGAGCCUGUUUGUGGAAAGGUGUAUCCACAAGGACUAAUAAAACAUUCCCGGAUGUACCUGCUCCUUCAGUGAUUAGCGCCAGCACCAGGACAUCCUACAGCACCUCCAGCCGAAGCGUGCUGCCGAAGGUGGCUCAGCUGGUUACCGGCUCCUCCUUCCCUUGGAGUUAUCAGUCUGCUUUGACCUUUCUGUCACCUUUACUAGCAGACACUUGGCUGCUUGCUGCUGACUCAGAAGCUGCUGUCUCAGCUGAGAAUACCCUGCUUUGCCACUUCAUAUAUCUACUAGUACAGAUCUGUGAUUGCAGUUCAUGUAUGUGGCUGAUGAAGAGGUGGGCAAGUCUUCCUUCCUGGCUGACCUUGUGA